CCCCUCUCAGAGUCACAUCUGGAGAGUUUUCAGUACUCUACCAGUCUUGGCUUUGGGAGGGAGAGUCCAACAGAGGCCUACCUUUCCAUUCCUAGCUUGGCCAGUGGCUAGCGAGUGGAAGGCAACGUGCCACAAGU
This is a small nucleolar RNA of Ornithorhynchus anatinus (platypus), 137 nucleotides long. NCBI's taxonomy places the organism in Eukaryota, Metazoa, Chordata, Mammalia, Monotremata, Ornithorhynchidae. The record is from RefSeq and is a predicted model, not a curated record.